AUGCAAGUCGUACGAGUUCCAUUUGGGCAACUGGGUGGAAAAAGUGGCGAAAGGGGCAGUAAGGCAUGGAUAAUUUACCCUGAUGACCGGGAUAGCUGUCCCAACGGGCAGGUAAUACCGGAUGAGCUGGCGGUGCCGCAUGGUACUGCCAGGAAAGGCGCAAGCCGUGUCGGGAGGAAUCCAUGUGAUAUUAGCUAGUUGGCGGGGUAACGGCCCACCAAGGCGAAGAUGUCUAGCGGGUGUGAGAGCACGACCCGCGCCAUUGGCACUGAGACACUGGCCAGACUCCUACGGGAGGCUGCAGUCGAGGAUCUUCGGCAAUGGGCGCAAGCCUGACCGAGCGACGCCGCGUGAGCGAUGAAGGCCAUUAGGUUGUAAAGCUCUGUCGAGGGGGAGCAAGCCGCAAGGUUGAGCGAUCCCUGGAGGAAGCACGGGCUAAGUUCGUGCCAGCAGCCGCGGUAAGACGAACCGUGCGAACGUUGUUCGGAAUCAUUGGGCUUAAAGGGCGCGUAGGCGGGUGUUCAAGUCCGGGGUGAAAUCCUCCAGCUCAACUGGAGAAGAGCCCCGGAUACUGUUCAUCUAGAGAGAGGUAGGGGCACAUGGAACUUCCGGUGGAGCGGUGAAAUGCGUAGAGAUCGGAAGGAACGCCGGUGGCGAAAGCGAUGUGCUGGAUCUUUUCUGACGCUGAGGCGCGAAAGCUAGGGGAGCAAACGGGAUUAGAUACCCCGGUAGUCCUAGCC
Molecule: ribosomal RNA, 740 nt
Filed under: uncultured Planctomycetota bacterium
Lineage: Bacteria; Pseudomonadati; Planctomycetota
Description: bacterial SSU rRNA
Rfam family: Bacterial small subunit ribosomal RNA
Source: RNAcentral